RNAcentral lists this transfer RNA (69 nucleotides) under Stichopus chloronotus. RNAcentral describes it as "tRNA-Gly". It matches the Rfam family "tRNA". Rfam says of the family: Transfer RNA (tRNA) molecules are approximately 80 nucleotides in length. The record is from RNAcentral. Lineage: Eukaryota; Metazoa; Echinodermata; Holothuroidea; Aspidochirotida; Stichopodidae.
ACGCCUUUAUUAUAGCUAAUAUACCUGACUUCCAAUCAGGAGAUCUUGGUUCAAGCCCGAGGAGGUGUA